UACGAAGGGGGCUAGCGUUGUUCGGAAUUACUGGGCGUAAAGCGCACGUAGGCGGACAUUUAAGUCAGGGGUGAAAUCCCAGAGCUCAACUCUGGAACUGCCUUUGAUACUGGGUGUCUUGAGUAUGGAAGAGGUGAGUGGAAUUCCGAGUGCAGAGGUGAAAUUCGUAGAUAUUCGGAGGAACACCAGUGGCGAAGGCGGCUCACUGGUCCAUUACUGACGCUGAGGUGCGAAAGCGUGGGGAGCAAACAGG
Molecule: ribosomal RNA, 253 nt
Filed under: uncultured bacterium
Lineage: Bacteria
Description: partial 16S ribosomal RNA
Rfam family: Bacterial small subunit ribosomal RNA
Source: RNAcentral